This 499-nucleotide ribosomal RNA is filed under the name uncultured bacterium. RNAcentral's name for it is "bacterial SSU rRNA". It matches the Rfam family "Bacterial small subunit ribosomal RNA", at positions 29 to 507 of the family's 1533-position model. The record is from RNAcentral.
ACGAACGCUGGCGGCGUGCCUAAUACAUGCAAGUCGAGCGGAAUGAAGAAGAAGCUUGCUUCUUCUGAUUUUAGCGGCGGACGGGUGAGUAACACGUGGGCAACCUACCUUGUAGAUUGGGAUAACUCCGGGAAACCGGGGCUAAUACCGGAUAAUCCAUUUUGCUUCAUGGCGAGAUGUUAAAAGGCGGCUUCGGCUGUCACUACGAGAUGGGCCCGCGGCGCAUUAGCUAGUUGGUAGGGUAAUGGCCUACCAAGGCGACGAUGCGUAGCCGACCUGAGAGGGUGAUCGGCCACACUGGGACUGAGACACGGCCCAGACUCCUACGGGAGGCAGCAGUAGGGAAUCUUCCACAAUGGACGAAGGUCUGAUGGAGCAACGCCGCGUGAGUGAAGAAGGUUUUCGGAUCGUAAAACUCUGUUGUAAGGGAAGAACACGUACGAGAGUAACUGCUCGUACCUUGACGGUACCUUAUCAGAAAGCCACGGCUAACUACGUG